AGCAUGUUAGCUCAGGGGAAGAGCGGUAUUUACAUCACGUGAUCCUCAUAUUGUCAGUCAAAUAACUAACUUCGUUUAGCCGGGCUCAUAACCCGGAGGACCCUGGAUCGAAACCAGGACAUGCUA
RNAcentral lists this transfer RNA (126 nucleotides) under Aspergillus sydowii CBS 593.65. RNAcentral's name for it is "tRNA-Val". The record is from RNAcentral. Lineage: Eukaryota; Fungi; Ascomycota; Eurotiomycetes; Eurotiales; Aspergillaceae.